Molecule: ribosomal RNA, 206 nt
Filed under: uncultured bacterium
Lineage: Bacteria
Description: partial 16S ribosomal RNA
Rfam family: Bacterial small subunit ribosomal RNA
Source: RNAcentral
CGCGUAGGCGGUCAUUUAAGUUGCAUGUAAAAUACCAGGGCUCAACCUUGGGGGUCAUGCAAAACUGGGUGACUUGAGAGCAGUAGAGGGAAGUGGAAUUCCUGGUGUAGCGGUAAAAUGCGUAGAGAUCAGGAGGAACACCGGUGGCGAAGGCGACUUUCUGGGCUGCCACUGACGCUGAGGCGCGAAAGCGUGGGGAGCGAACA